Molecule: ribosomal RNA, 2278 nt
Filed under: human gut metagenome
Description: bacterial LSU rRNA
Rfam family: Bacterial large subunit ribosomal RNA
Source: RNAcentral
UUAAAGUAGUAAGGGCGCAGGGUGGAUGCCUUGGCACUAAGAGCCGAUGAAAGACGUGAUAAGCUGCGAAAAGCUUCGGGGAGGAGCACAUAUCCAAUGAUCCGGAGAUAUCUGAAUGGGGAAACCCGGCAGAGGAAACCUCUGUCAGCGUGCAGUGAAUACAUAGCUGUACGUGGGGAACCCGGGGAACUGAAACAUCUAAGUACCCGGAGGAAGAGAAAGAAAAUUUAUCGAUUUCCAAAGUAGCGGCGAGCGAAAUGGAAAGAGCCCAAACCGUGAUGCGUGCAUCGCGGGGUUCGGACUGCGUUGUGGCAGACGUAAGAUAGGAGAACGGACUGGGAAGUCCGGCCGGAGAGAGUGAAAGCCUCGUAUCCGAAAUCCCAAGUCGCCUAGCAGGAUCCAGAGUAGGACGAGACACGAGAAACCUUGUCUGAACGAGCGGGGACCACCCCGUAAGGCUAAAUACUUCUUAGUGACCGAUAGCGCAUAGUACUGUGAAGGAAAGGUGAAAAGUACCCCGGGAGGGGAGUGAAAGAGAACCUGAAACCCUGUGUCUACAAGCUGUGGGACCUCUUUAUAUGAGGGACUGCGUACUUUUUGUAGAACGGUCCGGCGAGUUGUGCGUACUGGCGAGGUUAAGGACUUAAGGUCUGGAGCCGAAGUGAAAGCAAGCGUUAAUAGCGCGUCAAGUCAGUGAGUGCAGACCCGAAACCGGGUGACCUAUCCAUGUCCAGGUUGAAGCUUCCGUAAGAGGAAGUGGAGGACCGAACCCACAUCCGUUGAAAAGGGUGGGGAUGAGGUGUGGAUAGCGGAGAAAUUCCAAUCGAACCCGGAGAUAGCUGGUUCUCCUCGAAAUAGCUUUAGGGCUAGCCUCAUGAGAGUCUUAUGGAGGUAGAGCACUGAAUUGCCUAGGGGGCGUCAAAGCUUACCAAAGCAUAUCAAACUCCGAAUGCCAUCAAGAUGAUUCAUGGGAGUCAGACCAUACGAGAUAAGUUGGAUGGUCAAAAGGGAAAGAGCCCAGACCUACAGCUAAGGUCCCAAAGUACGUGUUAAGUGGAAAAGGAUGUGGGGAUUCUAAGACAACUAGGACGUUGGCUUAGAAGCAGCCAUUCAUUGAAAGAGUGCGUAAUAGCUCACUAGUCGAGAGUCCCUGCGCCGAAAAUGUCCGGGGCUGAAACACGACACCGAAGCUUAGGAAUGUGUAAACAUUGGUAGAGGAGCAUUGCUGGCGGGAUGAAGCCAUACCGUAAGGAGUGGUGGACUGCUAGGAAGAGAGAAUGCCGGAAUGAGUAGCGAGAUGAAGGUGAGAAUCCUUCAGGCCGAAUAUCUAAGGUUUCCAGAGUAAAGCUGAUCUGCUCUGGGUAAGUCGGGACCUAAGGCGAGGUCGAAAGACGUAGUCGAUGGAUAACAGGUUGAAAUUCCUGUACCGCAUAUAAACAGAACUGUGGGGACACAGACAGGGAAUGGAAUCCGGGAAUGGAUAUCCCGGUGCAAGCGAGGUAGGAGUGCUGUUGGCAAAUCCGCAGCACGAUCUGAAGACGUGACGCGUACCGAACAUAAGUAGGGAAGUCCAGGCCCCUGGCUGUCAAGAAAAGCCGCUAUUGUUUUAUAUGUGCCCGUACCGCAAACCGACACAGGUGGAUGAGGAGAGAAUCCUAAGGCCGACGGGAGAAGUAUUGUUAAGGAACUCGGCAAAAUGACUCCGUAACUUCGGGAGAAGGAGUGCCAUGAGAGUGGCCGCAGAGAAAUGGCCCAAGCAACUGUUUAGCAAAAACACAGGUCUAUGCAAAACCGCAAGGUGAAGUAUAUGGGCUGACGCCUGCCCGGUGCUGGAAGGUUAAGGGGAGAGGUUAGCGCAAGCGAAGCUUUGAACUUAAGCCCCAGUAAACGGCGGCCGUAACUAUAACGGUCCUAAGGUAGCGAAAUUCCUUGUCGGGUAAGUUCCGACCCGCACGAAAGGCGUAAUGAUUUGAGCGCUGUCUCGACAAUGCAUCCGGUGAAAUUGAAGUACCAGUGAAGAUGCUGGUUACCUGCGCCAGGACGGAAAGACCCCAUGGAGCUUUACUCCAGUUUGAUACUGGGAUUCGGCAUGGUAUGUACAGGAUAGGUGGGAGACUGAGAAGGUAUGACGUCAGUUGUACCGGAGUCGCUGUUGGGAUACCACCCUUACCAUGUUGGAUUUCUAACCUGUGGCCGUAAGCCGGUCAGGGGACAAUGUCAGGCGGGGAGUUUGACUGGGGCGGUCGCCUCCGAAAGGGUAUCGGAGGCGCUCAAAGGU